UUGUAAUAACAUAUUAUAUAGCUGUAUUUUAUUUUAAUAGUUGAGGUGUGUAACGAAAAUACAUAAUUAAUGUUUAUUUCUAUUUUGAUUUCUUUGAUAAAGGUGUUAUAUCUUAUAAUGAUUUAAAGUGAAUAAAUAAAAGUACAUAAAAAUCAAAUUGUGUUAAAAAACAUAAGCACAAAAGAAAGGGAUAUAACUUGUACACAAAAUAAGAGACAGCAAAAU
This 225-nucleotide long non-coding RNA is filed under the name Lathyrus oleraceus (garden pea). RNAcentral describes it as "Pisum sativum (pea) long non-coding RNA (PSAT_LNC038032)". The record is from RNAcentral. Lineage: Eukaryota; Viridiplantae; Streptophyta; Magnoliopsida; Fabales; Fabaceae.